This 415-nucleotide ribosomal RNA is filed under the name Bigelowiella natans. Its description in RNAcentral is "partial Eukaryotic large subunit ribosomal RNA". Lineage: Eukaryota; Cercozoa; Chlorarachniophyceae. The record is from RNAcentral.
UUUCGAUAUUUUUUAAAUAAUGGAAGAUAUAUAUCUAUCUAAUUUAAUAAAAGACAUAAAUGCUGAUAAUUUAUUUUUUAAUACACAAAAUAUUAGCACAAUAAAAUUUGAUGAAAGCAAAAAAAACUACGACGAUCAAAAAAAAAAUAGAUGCUUAGAACUCCAGAGAGAUUUAUCUACUAAAUAUUUAUCUAAAAAGAACUUUUGUUUUUCUGGAGUAGGAAUAGAUCUAGGAACAACCAAUUCUGCCAUUGCUACAAUGGUUGCUGGACAACCUAGUAUCUUGCCUAACUCCUCGGGCGCCCGACUAACUCCUUCUGUAAUAGGUAUUGACAAACAAAAUAACUUUGUUGUAGGAGAUAUUGCCAAAAGACAAGCUGUUGUUAAUCCUCAAAAUACAUAUUAUUCUGUUAAA